ACAGGAUUAGAUACCCUGGUAGUCCACCCCGUAAACGUUGGGAACUAGUUGUGGGGUCCAUUCCACGGAUUCCGUGACGCAGCUAACGCAUUAAGUUCCCCGCCUGGGGAGUACGGCCGCAAGGCUAAAACUCAAAGGAAUUGACGGGGACCCGCACAAGCGGCGGAGCAUGCGGAUUAAUUCGAUGCAACGCGAAGAACCUUACCAAGGCUUGACAUACACGAGAACGCUGCAGAAAUGUAGAACUCUUUGGACACUCGUGAACAGGUGGUGCAUGGUUGUCGUCAGCUCGUGUCGUGAGAUGUUGGGUUAAGUCCCGCAACGAGCGCAACCCUCGUUCUAUGUUGCCAGCACGUAAUGGUGGGAACUCAUGGGAUACUGCCGGGGUCAACUCGGAGGAAGGUGGGGAUGACGUCAAAUCAUCAUGCCCCUUAUGUCUUGGGCUUCACGCAUGCUACAAUGGCCGGUACAAAGGGCUGCAAUACCGCAAGGUGGAGCGAAUCCCAAAAAGCCGGUCCCAGUUCGGAUUGAGGUCUGCAACUCGACCUCAUGAAGUCGGAGUCGCUAGUAAUCGCAGAUCAGCAACGCUGCGGUGAAUACGUUCCCGGGUCUUGUACACACCGCCCGUCAAGUCAUGAAAGUCGGUAACACCUGAAGCCGGUGGCCCAACCCUUGUGGAGGGAGCCGUCGAAGGUGGGAUCGGUAAUUAGGACUAAGUCGUAACAAGGUAACCAAGGGC
This 739-nucleotide ribosomal RNA is filed under the name uncultured bacterium. RNAcentral's name for it is "bacterial SSU rRNA". It matches the Rfam family "Bacterial small subunit ribosomal RNA", at positions 772 to 1507 of the family's 1533-position model. The record is from RNAcentral.